RNAcentral lists this ribosomal RNA (253 nucleotides) under uncultured bacterium. RNAcentral describes it as "partial 16S ribosomal RNA". It matches the Rfam family "Bacterial small subunit ribosomal RNA", at positions 524 to 776 of the family's 1533-position model. The record is from RNAcentral.
UACAGAGAGUGCAAACGUUGUUCGGAAUUACUGGGCUUGAAGCGCACGUAGGCGGCGUUGUAAGUGUCGGGUGAAAUCCCACGGCUCACCCGUGGAACUGCCCAGCAUACUGCGAUGCUAGAGUGUGGUAGGGGAGAGCGGAACUCCUGGUGGAGCGGUGAAAUGCGUAGAUAUCAGGAGGAACACCGGUGGCGAAGGCGGCUCUCUGGUCCACAACUGACGCUGAGGUGCGAAAGCUAGGGGAGCAAACGGG